Molecule: transfer RNA, 88 nt
Filed under: Dendrothele bispora CBS 962.96
Lineage: Eukaryota; Fungi; Basidiomycota; Agaricomycetes; Agaricales
Description: tRNA-His
Rfam family: tRNA
About the family: Transfer RNA (tRNA) molecules are approximately 80 nucleotides in length. Their secondary structure includes four short double-helical elements and three loops (D, anti-codon, and T loops).
Source: RNAcentral
GUCCCUGUCGAUUAGUGGUUAAAUCAUCACGUUGUGGUUAGCUCUAGAAUCAACCGUGAAGCCGGGAGCUCGAAUCUCCCCAGGGACA